This 2835-nucleotide long non-coding RNA is filed under the name Homo sapiens (human). RNAcentral describes it as "non-protein coding IDH2-DT:12". The record is from RNAcentral. Lineage: Eukaryota; Metazoa; Chordata; Mammalia; Primates; Hominidae.
AGGCCCGGCUGGUGCUUCUCUGGGCGCCGCUGAAAGCCCAGCUCCGCAGGAGCUACAGGCGUGAGACCCACCGGGACCCGCGAGCGGGAUCAGGGCUGGGGGAUUAGCAGAGCCGCUUGCGAGGCUGACCCUCUCCAGGAUGCCCCAUGUAAACCUGGAUGUCAGUUUCUGACGCUUUAGCUUAAACCCAAAAGCCAAUCUGAGCGAACUCUUGCUUCCCUCGCCUGCCGGGCUGAACCCAAAGGCGCAUUAGCCCAGUGCGGCUGCUUCAUUCUUGAGCUAAGACCGCCGGCGGCGUCUGCGCCUCCGCGAGUCCGCUGUCAGGUCCAGCUGGUGUAGAGAGAGUUGAAAUCUCACUUUGGGCCGGGCGCGGUGGCUCACGUCUGUAAUCCUAGAACUUUUGGGAGGUCGAGGCAGGCGGAUCACUUGAAGUCAGGAGUUCGAGACCAGGCUGGCUAACAUAAUGAAACCCCUGUCUCUACUAAAAAUACAAAAAUUGAUCGGGCAUGGUGGCGCGCGCCUGUAAUCCCAGCUACUCAGGAGGCUGAGGCGGGAGAAUCACUUGAACCUGAGAGGCAGAGAUUGCAGUGAGCUGAGAUCAUGCCACUGCACUCCAGCCUGGGCAACAGAGUGAGACUCCGUCUCAAAAAAAAAAAAAAAAAACCACGAAAAAAGAAAUAUGAUUGGACCAGAAGGCCAAUAACCUGAGUGGGGAAACCCAGCAAGUCCUGUCCGUGUAGAUUCUUCUUGACCUUUCUCUGCAGCAUUCCUUCCUUCUGAGUACGGGGCAGGACUCUCUCUGGGAUGGAGGGGUCUUAGGACCUGCAAGCAAACAAGGUAGGUCAGAUAAUUUAUGGCCAGUUUUUACCCAGAAAUGUGUGGGAGAAAGAGUAAUAUUUUUGGGUUCGAUGUCUGGCUUUGGGGGAGAAGGGCUCUGGUUUCUAUGACCUGCCUUGAGGAAGAAGGAUUCCAGUUUCUAUGGCUGGCCUCGGAGGAGAGUGAGGGGCCAAAGACAGGAGGGAGGGAGAGGGUCAGAGAGAGCUGCUCCUGAGGCCUGCAUUUUGGGGUGUUGUUUUCUGAGACCCUAGAGUAGUCAAACAGCCACAGUAGAAACAGUUCCAUUUUUGCCUGUUUGCAUAUAAAAGAUGGGUUUGUUUGUUUGUUUUAAUUAAAAAUAGAGAUGGGGGGAUCUCACUAUGUUGCCCAGGCUGGUCUCCAGCUCCUAAGCUUAAAUGAUCCUCCCGCCUCGGCCUCGCAAAGCACUGGGAUUACAGGUGUGAGCCACUGCACCUGGCCACAAAAGACAGUUGUAAUUGAUUCUGCCACAAACAAAGUUUCUCUCUUCAUCUGUUUUCUUAAACUAAGACACCAGCUGAGGGCUGGGUUUUAUUUGGAAAAACCUGACCUCUUUCCCUUCUCUGCUUUCCCAGUCACGCUAAUUCACUCCAAAUAGGAGCAACCUUUCUCUUCUGUGUUCUCAGCCCUCCCCUCCACUACCUCACAGUCAACAUUGCCAGGUGGAGCUGGACCAGGAAGGUGACCUUCAACUAGUGACUUCAAAGCUCCCCUCACCAAGUCCUAGCCGGCAGAACUACUACUCUGGCCAUGGGAUCCAGAAGGCUGAGCCCAAGGGAGGGCUGCUUUUGGGCCCCCCAGAGUCUGAGGCCUCUGUCAAAGGCCUGGUCUUGGGCCAGCUUGUGCCAGAAAGACCCCUUAUCCCUUUGACUCUGUUCAGAAUUCUGUUGCUCCAAACACAAGUAGAGACCAUGGAAGCCUCUGGCAUUUGACUUUCCUGCCAACCUGGUAUUAUCAGGUGCCUGGAUCUCAAUGUCCACACCUGUAAACUGGAAGACUGGACCCCUGAAGAUCCUUCUGGUCCAAACAAUCAGACUUACGUAUGUCAGCCACCCAUACUGCCACCUCUGAAAUGGCGGUAAUGAAAUUGCUGUCCCCCUCCCCCCACCAAGGACUUGCCCCUUUCUCUGCAUGUUGGACUCAUAUCUCAGAGGCCUGGCCAGAGGCAGCACUGUAGGUGUGUUCCAGAGUCUGGUCUUUGCCUGCUGAGGGAUCAGAGGGGGAGCACUUGUGUGCCUUGUAAGCACAGCAGCAGCUGGAGGCAAUUGAGGCAAAAUCUUUAAACGGAUUCUAACUACCUGCCUCCCAGGGCCCCAGCUCCACGCCAGCCUUUCCCGUAAAUCCUGUUUGGUGAGGCAGCUGAUGCCAGCUCCAUUUGGCUCGUAGAGGUUACCACACUUGCUCAAUGUCACACUGCUGGGAAGCAGUAAAACUCCAGUUCAAAUCAACAUACCUGGCCCAUAUUCCAUUACUGUUUUUUUGUUUUUUCCGAGACAGGGUCUCACUCUGUUGCCCAGGCUGGAGUGCAAUGGUAUGAUCAUGGCUCCCUGAAGCCUCGACCUCCCGGGCUCAAGUGAUCCUCCCACCUUAGCCUCCUCAGUAGCUUGGACAACAAGAACAUGCAACCAUGCCCGGCUAAUUUUUUUUCUGUUACUUUUUGAAGGAGAAAGAGGGAGAAACCACAGCCCCUAUUUAUUGUGCUGGUCUGGAAUUCCUGGUGAUGGUAACUAUUGGCCCUGAAAGCUGCUGCAGAGAAAGAUGGUGUUUAAAGGAAAGGGGCUCAGAUCCUCCCAUCUGGGGUCAGUGGAAUUGAAAAUUUCCACCCCUCCACAUUUUCAAUCAAACCCCAAUUUGUCAUUGAAUUUAGGUCACGUGCAAGUUCCCUGUGGAGGCACAAAAAUUUGUAUCACUCCGUCCCCACCCUCUGGGAGCCAGACACACAUGUAUACAAUCACCAUAAACCCAGGCACAAGAGAAAAA